AUUCCAGCUCCAAUAGCGUAUAUUAAAGUUGUUGCGGUUAAAAAGCUCGUAGUUGGAUUUCUGCUGAGGACGACCGGUCCGCCCUCUGGGUGAGUAUCUGGCUUGGCCUUGGCAUCUUCUUGGAGAACGUAGCUGCACUUGACUGUGUGGUGCGGUAUCCAGGACUUUUACUUUGAGGAAAUUAGAGUGUUUCAAGCAGGCACACGCCUUGAAUACAUUAGCAUGGAAUAAUAAGAUAGGACCUCGGUUCUAUUUUGUUGGUUUCUAGAGCUGAGGUAAUGAUUAAUAGGGAUAGUUGGGGGCAUUCGUAUUUAACUGUCAGAGGUGAAAUUCUUGGAUUUUGGAAAGAUGAACUACUGCGAAGGCAUUUACCAAGGAUGUUUUCAUUA
Molecule: ribosomal RNA, 389 nt
Filed under: Gyrodinium sp.
Lineage: Eukaryota; Dinophyceae; Gymnodiniales; Gymnodiniaceae
Description: partial small subunit ribosomal RNA
Rfam family: Eukaryotic small subunit ribosomal RNA
Source: RNAcentral